CGCGUAGGCGGCUUUUUAAGUCGGUUGUGAAAGCCCCGGGCUCAACCCGGGGAGGCCAGCCGAUACUGGGGGGCUUGAGGGCAGGAGAGGGAAGCGGAACUGCCGGUGUAGCGGUGGAAUGCGUAGAUAUCGGCAGGAACACCCGCGGCGAAGGCGGCUUCCUGGACUGCUCCUGACGCUGAGGCGCGAAAGCCAGGGGAGCGGACGGGAUUAGAUACCCCGGUAGUCCUGGCCCUAAACGAUGGUCACUAGGUGUCGCGGGUAUCGACCCUGCGGUGCCGCAGCUAACGCAGUAAGUGACCCGCCUGGGGAGUACGGCCGCAAGGUUGAA
Molecule: ribosomal RNA, 331 nt
Filed under: uncultured bacterium
Lineage: Bacteria
Description: bacterial SSU rRNA
Rfam family: Bacterial small subunit ribosomal RNA
Source: RNAcentral